UGCCAGCCGCCGCGGUAAUACGGAGGGUGCAAGCGUUGCUCGGAAUCACUGGGCGUAAAGGGUGCGUAGGCGGCCUUGUCAGUCAGAUGUGAAAGCCCUCGGCUCAACCGAGGAACUGCAUUUGAAACUACAAGGCUUGAGUAUGGUAGAGGGAAGCGGAAUUCCUGGUGUAGCGGUGAAAUGCGUUGAUAUCAGGAGGAACACCUGUGGCGAAGGCGGCUUCCUGGGCCAUUACUGACGCUGAGGCACGAAAGCGUUGGGUAGCAAACGGGAUUAGAUA
RNAcentral lists this ribosomal RNA (280 nucleotides) under uncultured bacterium. RNAcentral describes it as "partial 16S ribosomal RNA". It matches the Rfam family "Bacterial small subunit ribosomal RNA", at positions 506 to 784 of the family's 1533-position model. The record is from RNAcentral.